UGUGUCCGAGCGGCGACGGGUGAGUAACACGUGAGCAACCUGCCCCCGACUCCGGGAUAAGCGGUGGAAACGCCGUCUAAUACCGGAUACGACACACCGCCUCAUGGCGGUGUGUGGAAAGUUUUUCGGUCGGGGAUGGGCUCGCGGCCUAUCAGCUUGUUGGUGGGGUAACGGCCUACCAAGGCGAUUACGGGUAGCCGGCCUGAGAGGGCGACCGGCCACACUGGGACUGAGACACGGCCCAGACUCCUGCGGGAGGCAGCAGUGGGGAAUAUUGCGCAAUGGGCGAAAGCCUGACGCAGCGACGCCGCGUGGGGGAUGACGGCCUUCGGGUUGUAAACCUCUUUUACCACCAACGCAGGCUCCCAGUUCUCUGGGGGUUGACGGUAGGUGGGGAAUAAGGACCGGCUAACUACGUGCCAGCAGCCGCGGUAAUACGUAGGGUCCGAGCGUUGUCCGGAAUUAUUGGGCGUAAAGAGCUCGUAGGCGGCGUGUCGCGUCUGCUGUGAAAGACCGGGGCUUAACUCCGGUUCUGCAGUGGAUACGGGCAUGCUAGAGGUAGGUAGGGGAGACUGGAAUUCCUGGUGUAGCGGUGAAAUGCGCAGAUAUCAGGAGGAACACCGGUGGCGAAGGCGGGUCUCUGGGCCUUACCUGACGCUGAGGAGCGAAAGCAUGGGGAGCGAACAGGAUUAGAUACCCUGGUAGUCCAUGCCGUAAACGUUGGGCGCUAGGUGUGGGGACUUUCCACGGGUUUCCGCGCCGCAGCUAACGCAUUAAGCGCCCCGCCUGGGGAGUACGGCCGCAAGGCUAAAACUCAAAGGAUGACGGGGCCGCACAGCGCGAGCAUGUU
RNAcentral lists this ribosomal RNA (850 nucleotides) under Nocardiopsis sp. Its description in RNAcentral is "bacterial SSU rRNA". It matches the Rfam family "Bacterial small subunit ribosomal RNA", at positions 86 to 943 of the family's 1533-position model. The record is from RNAcentral. Lineage: Bacteria; Bacillati; Actinomycetota; Actinomycetes; Streptosporangiales; Nocardiopsidaceae.